CGGUGGCUAAUACCGGAUACGACCACUCCUUGCAUGAGGUGGUGGUGGUAAAGUUUUUCGGCCAGGGAUGUGCUCGCGGCCUAUCAGCUUGUUGGUGGGGUAAUGGCCUACCAAGGCUUCGACGGUAGCCGGCCUGAGAGGGUGACCGGCCACACUGGGACUGAGACACGGCCCAGACUCCUACGGGAGGCAGCAGUGGGGAAUAUUGGACAAUGGGCGGAAGCCUGAUCCAGCAACGCCGCGUGAGGGAUGACGGCCUUCGGGUUGUAAACCUCUUUCAGUACCGACGAAGCGCCGAUGAUGGUGGUGACGGUAGGUACAGAAGAAGCACCGGCCAACUACGUG
This 345-nucleotide ribosomal RNA is filed under the name uncultured bacterium. Its description in RNAcentral is "bacterial SSU rRNA". It matches the Rfam family "Bacterial small subunit ribosomal RNA", at positions 157 to 507 of the family's 1533-position model. The record is from RNAcentral.